GUGAACCUCUGUUGAGGACGUGUGCCGUUCGGGAGCUCUCCUUGUCUUUGGCCUUUGACGAUGGCAAAAUAAGGUGGGUAUGGCAUCAGGUUUUAACCUGAGGUGUCCUUUUUUUUGUACAAAUAAACUGACUGUCCUCAAAAUGCACCUGCAGAGAGACUCUUAAAAUCAGUGUGAAAUGUAUACGCAAGAUAGAAUUGAAAUGUUGUUCUGUCUGCUCUAAUAAAAUGACCUUAUAAAUUUAAACUGUUGUACGUCACAUUUAUAAACAUUUACCUGACAUAUCUUUCUACUGUUGCAGUUGCCAGCCUUGACAUCAAAAUUUUGUCUGCUGACCAUCGCCAGCCAUCUCUUCUGCCUCUCCUUUUCUUUAGGGAAACCAUACAUUCGAUGGCCCCUCUCUGAGCGGUUGGUGCACCCAAAUGCUGCACAGCCAACCAUCACUGGUCUCUACACUGUACAAUGGUAAACGUAAAGAUAAUUAGCUGUCAAGCCUCAAAUGUUGUGUAAAAGUGGACAAUAUGUCCCUUAACAGUCAUCCCUGAGACUUGCAUUAUAAAUCAGAGCUGAAAAGAUGACUACUUUCAUAACAAUGCUGGACAGUCUGAAGAGCUUCUCUGUUAUUCACUGCUGCUGUAGUGUGGAAAUGUGGGAAAAUGUGGCCCAGUGCUUCAACUGAUUUUCAAGUGACCAAAUGUGUGUUUGAAAGUGGUAAUAGCUGCC
This is a non-coding RNA of Xyrichtys novacula (pearly razorfish), 723 nucleotides long. The record is from the annotation of a GenBank genome assembly. Lineage: Eukaryota; Metazoa; Chordata; Actinopteri; Labriformes; Labridae.